This 433-nucleotide ribosomal RNA is filed under the name uncultured bacterium. Its description in RNAcentral is "partial 16S ribosomal RNA". It matches the Rfam family "Bacterial small subunit ribosomal RNA", at positions 29 to 507 of the family's 1533-position model. The record is from RNAcentral.
AACGAACGCUGGCGGCAUGCCUAACACAUGCAAGUCGAACGAGACCUUCGGGUCUAGUGGCGCACGGGUGCGUAACACGUGGGAACCUGCCCUUAGGUUCGGAAUAACUCCCCGAAAGGGGUGCUAAUACCGGAUAAUGUCUUCGGACCAAAGAUUUAUCGCCUUUGGAUGGGCCCGCGUUGGAUUAGCUAGUUGGUAGGGUAAAAGCCUACCAAGGCGACGAUCCAGAGCUGGUCUGAGAGGAUGAUCAGCCACACUGGGACUGAGACACGGCCCAGACUCCUACGGGAGGCAGCAGUGGGGAAUAUUGGACAAUGGGCGAAAGCCUGAUCCAGCAAUGCCGCGUGAGUGAUGAAGGCCUUAGGGUUGUAAAGCUCUUUUACCCGGGAUGAUAAUGACAGUACCGGGAGAAUAAGCUCCGGCUAACUCCGUG